UACAGAGGGUGCAAGCGUUAAUCGGAAUUACUGGGCGUAAAGCGCGCGUAGGCGGUUAUUUAAGUCGGAUGUGAAAUCCCCGGGCCCAACCUGGGAAUUGCAUUCGAUACUGAGUAACUAGAGUAUGAGAGAGGGAGGUGGAAUUCCACGUGUAGCGGUGAAAUGCGUAGAGAUGUGGAGGAAGACCGGUGGCGAAGGCGGCCUCCUGGCUUAAUACUGACGCUGAGGUGCGAAAGCGUGGGGAGCAAACAGG
RNAcentral lists this ribosomal RNA (253 nucleotides) under uncultured bacterium. Its description in RNAcentral is "partial 16S ribosomal RNA". It matches the Rfam family "Bacterial small subunit ribosomal RNA", at positions 524 to 776 of the family's 1533-position model. The record is from RNAcentral.